Molecule: long non-coding RNA, 1088 nt
Organism: Aedes albopictus (Asian tiger mosquito)
Lineage: Eukaryota; Metazoa; Arthropoda; Insecta; Diptera; Culicidae
Exons: 3
Source: RefSeq, a predicted model, not a curated record
UCUAUUUUAAAUCACACUGUUUAUGUCUUAAUAGCCUUUUAAUUAGAAACAGUGGAGAGUUAAUGCAAAGCUUAACAUCAACUGCAUUUCACGCAAGGUAGUGAUGGUGGGUUUGCCAGACAAACUGAGAUGACUUAGGUUUAUGUGCACACCCUCCCAUGAAAAGCGUCAUGUUCUACUAAGUUUGUCAUCUAUUCUUCGACAUUCCUCAUCAUACGUUUUCUCAAUGGGUAUAUCCAUAUAUUACGCGUACGAUAAAGCACCACAGCAACUAAAACUCUUGUUGUGGCUUCAUAUAUGCCUGUUUGAUACUCGAAGCUGAGAGCCACAUUUGCUCCUAGUGCCCAUCUUACUCAGUUUAUCAUAACGUGUUCAGCUGUCGAGUCGAAAAAUCAUGUAUCUAUUGUUUGAGCAUUUAAAAUGAAACGUAAUAUCUACCGAUUGGGUUUGUUUACAACUAUCGUUAUUAUAGCGCAUUUCAACUUUGCUAAAAGUGGUCAAGCCAGUGAGUCACAAUUGACAGCAAACAAUGGAUAUACAUAUUUGAGAGAUCUACCCCUGUCCCAAUUGUUAAAACUACAAAAAUCAGUUUGUGACUUAUCUCAGUGCAGUUCACGGAACACUACUUUGUUAUCAUUAGAAAAACGAAAUGAGAUCGCAGGAACAUUAAACCACGAGAGUUACGAAACGAUAACAGCACUACCACUUACGGAAAGAUUUAGCAGGAGAAGCUCUAUAGAACCAUGGGACUCGAGGCCAAGUAAAAUUCAAUCUAUAUUUCAAAUUAGUGUUACCGCCUUGGCAUUUUUGGCUUUUGCUAGUUAUCUAUUAUGUAUGAUUGUUCAAGCAAUCAAAAGUAAAGGGACUACUUAUUUUCAUCCAACAAUAACAUCAAGUGCAACGUUAUCAAAUGCUGUAAAAAAACGAAGACCAUUAGGCAGGAAAAGACGUAAUGUAGCAAAUGGAAAUAUAACAACAAUCGAGGGCAACCUACAUGCUGGACCGGACCCGGAGGAAAUCUAUUCAUAUCUAUUAAUAAUGUCUAAUGCUUAUGUAAAAUUUAAUGCAAUUGAUAAAUAGUAGUAAUU